Molecule: ribosomal RNA, 496 nt
Filed under: uncultured bacterium
Lineage: Bacteria
Description: partial 16S ribosomal RNA
Rfam family: Bacterial small subunit ribosomal RNA
Source: RNAcentral
GAUGAACGCUGGCGGCGUGCCUAAUACAUGCAAGUCGAGCGAACAGACGAGGAGCUUGCUCCUCUGACGUUAGCGGCGGACGGGUGAGUAACACGUGGAUAACCUACCUAUAAGACUGGGAUAACUUCGGGAAACCGGAGCUAAUACCGGAUAAUAUAUUGAACCGCAUGGUUCAAUAGUGAAAGACGGUUUUGCUGUCACUUAUAGAUGGAUCCGCGCCGCAUUAGCUAGUUGGUAAGGUAACGGCUUACCAAGGCAACGAUGCGUAGCCGACCUGAGAGGCUGAUCGGCCCCACUGAAACUGAGACACGUUCCAGACUCCUACGGGAGGCAGCAGUAGCGAAUCUUCCGCAAUGGGCGAAAGCUUGACGGAGCAACGCCGCGGGAGUGAUGAAGGUCUUCGGAUCGUAAAACUCUGUUAUUAGGGAAGAACAAAUGUGUAAGUAACUAUGCACGUCUUGACGGUACCUAAUCAGAAAGCCACGGCUAACUACGU